This 260-nucleotide unclassified non-coding RNA is filed under the name Hevea brasiliensis (rubber tree). Lineage: Eukaryota; Viridiplantae; Streptophyta; Magnoliopsida; Malpighiales; Euphorbiaceae. The record is from RNAcentral.
GAAGAAUGCAUAUUUGUGCAUAUCCCAUGUUAUCUAAGACUACUUCUUUACUUAGAUUAAAAUAAAAUUUAAAUUUUAAAGAGAGAAGUUUAAGAACAAAAAAGAGGCCUAGAUGUGGAGCUAGCCACAAUCUUAGGGCUGCAGGAUCUCAUGUUAAUUAUGAGACUAAAAUGGAAAACCAGAGGACUCUACACCACUAUAUGGAAAGCUCCCAGGAGAAGGGGAAAAAAGUUUUUCCAAGAAUGGAACUAACCUACAUC